GAAUCGCGAUAGGAAUUGCGAAUUGCAGAAUUCAGUGAAUCAUCGUAACUUUGAACGCAAACUGCGCUUGGGGGUUAACCCUGAGCAUGCCUCUUUGAGUGUCGGUCAAAAAAUCUCUUUGAUUUUCCUCAGAUUUAUCUGUGGAUAGAAAAGAGGAAGAUGAGGUGUUUUUGAUGAAUCCCUCCAAGUAUUGAGUUUUUGAUUUCUUUAUUAUUCAAAAUCUAGUCAUAUGCGAGUGGAGCUAAUGUUUUCACAAGCGACUAGUUGUUUAAUUUUAGAAAUUACUAUCAACUCUUUUAACAAUACAAGACCAACGACCUCAAAUGAGGUAGGAUCACCCGCUGAACUUAA
This 351-nucleotide unclassified non-coding RNA is filed under the name uncultured fungus. Its description in RNAcentral is "sequence contains ITS1". The stretch from base 1 to 104 matches the Rfam family "5.8S ribosomal RNA", at positions 50 to 154 of the family's 154-position model. The record is from RNAcentral. Lineage: Eukaryota; Fungi.